AUUUUUCUCAAUGGGGGAAACCCUGAAGGAGCGACGCCGCGUGGGGGAUGAAGGGUUUCGAUCCGUAAACCCCUGUCAUUCGCGAACAAUGGUUGCUGUUUAAGAGAUGGCAAUUUGAUAGUAGCGGAAGAGGAAGGGACGGCUAACUCUGUGCCAGCAGCCGCGGUAAUACAGAGGUCCCGAGCGUUGUUCGGAUUCACUGGGCGUAAAGGGUGCGUAGGUGGUGAGGUAAGUCGGAUGUGAAAGCUCCGGGCUCAACCCGGAAAUGGCAUUGGAAACUACCUUGCUUGAGGUUUGGAGGGGGGACUGGAAUUCUCGGUGUAGCAGUGAAAUGCGUAGAUAUCGAGAGGAACACCAGUGGCGAAGGCGAGUCCCUGGACAACACCUGACACUGAGGCACGAAAGCCGGGGGAGCAAACAGG
Molecule: ribosomal RNA, 422 nt
Filed under: uncultured bacterium
Lineage: Bacteria
Description: bacterial SSU rRNA
Rfam family: Bacterial small subunit ribosomal RNA
Source: RNAcentral